Molecule: ribosomal RNA, 809 nt
Filed under: uncultured bacterium
Lineage: Bacteria
Description: bacterial SSU rRNA
Rfam family: Bacterial small subunit ribosomal RNA
Source: RNAcentral
AGAGUUUGAUCCUGGCUCAGGAUGAACGCUGGCGGCGUGCCUAACACAUGCAAGUCGAACGGAGUUCUUAAGGAAUGCGACUUCGGUCAAAUGACUUUUGAACUUAGUGGCGGACGGGUGAGUAACGCGUGAGCAACCUGCCUUUCAGAGGGGGAUAACAUUUGGAAACAGAUGCUAAUACCGCAUAAGAUUACAGUACCGCAUGAUACAGUGAUCAAAGGAGCAAUCCGCUGAAAGAUGGGCUCGCGUCCGAUUAGAUAGUUGGUGAGGUAACGGCUCACCAAGUCGACGAUCGGUAGCCGGACUGAGAGGUUGAACGGCCACAUUGGGACUGAGACACGGCCCAGACUCCUACGGGAGGCAGCAGUGGGGAAUAUUGCACAAUGGGCGAAAGCCUGAUGCAGCAACGCCGCGUGAGGGAAGACGGUUUUCGGAUUGUAAACCUCUGUUUUCGGUGACGAAUAAAUGACGGUAACCGAGUAGGAAGCCACGGCUAACUACGUGCCAGCAGCCGCGGUAAUACGUAGGUGGCAAGCGUUAUCCGGAAUUACUGGGUGUAAAGGGAGCGCAGGCGGGAUAGCAAGUCAGCUGUGAAAACUAUGGGCUCAACCCAUAAACUGCAGUUGAAACUGUUAUUCUUGAGUGGAGUAGAGGCAAGCGGAAUUCCGAGUGUAGCGGUGAAAUGCGUAGAUAUUCGGAGGAACACCAGUGGCGAAGGCGGCUUGCUGGGCUCUAACUGACGCUGAGGCUCGAAAGUGUGGGGAGCAAACAGGAUUAGAUACCCUUGUAGUCCACACUGUAAACGAUGA